Molecule: RNA transcript, 2105 nt
Organism: Triticum aestivum (bread wheat)
Lineage: Eukaryota; Viridiplantae; Streptophyta; Magnoliopsida; Poales; Poaceae
Gene name: probable phospholipid hydroperoxide glutathione peroxidase
Exons: 4
Source: RefSeq, a predicted model, not a curated record
AACCCCAGCACUCUCUCUCUUUCUCUCGUCCAAAAAAAACUCUCUCACGAACUCACCUGCUCCUCUCCCCACGAUCUCCUCGGCGCCGCCACCACCCACGCCGGCCGGUUCCGGCGAGCACCGGCCGCGCGCAACACUCCCCCAAGCUCCCACCUUCCUCCGCUCCAAUCCCCAUGGAAGCCACCGCCGCCGCCUCCCUCGCACGGACCCUCGCCUCCUCGCCGCUCCCCCGCGGCUCCCGCCGUAGCCGUGUGCGCGUGGCCGUGGCGCCGGAGCGGCGGAGGAGGGGUAGGGCGGUGCUCGUCGUGGCGGCCUCGACGGGCAACUACGUGGUGCCGCUGGACGCCGCACCGUCGGGGAUCACGCGCCCACUCGUCGAGAUCUCGCGCGACCUCAACAAGCGUGUCCCAGAGACCAUCAUGCUCCCCGCCUCCCGCCGCGCCUCCGCCUCCGCUUCCGACCUCAACAAUUGCUGGUGAUUAGCAUAGCCGGGCGGGCGAGCUCUGCCGCUGCCGCCGGAGGCUCCAGCUCCUGCAAGUGUACGCUCGGACGGGAAGGGGGGAGUGGGCCUUGAACGAGUCCGGCGGCGGGAGGGCCCAGUAGCUGCCGAUGCAGAACGAGUGGGCCGUCCACGACAUGCUGGCGAGUUGGGGCGGCCGAAGUGACGCGGCCGCUUCGCUAUGGCAGGACGCCUACCAUGCCAGUCUGUCUCGCCCCUGGCGAUGCAGUGCCCGGCUCCAGCAGCGUCAGACUGGAUGGCAAGGCGUUGACAGAGGUAGUCCCCAAUGAGGCAAACUUAUGGCGGCUCAGCUAGUGCAAUAGACCUAAAAAAAGCGUCCAGGUUCAAGUAACAUACCUCUUCAGCACCGUGCUGUUGCUGAGGUACUUCAAGCACAACAACUUCUUGAGCUUCUUCCGCCAGCUCAACACCUAUAUGUAAGUUCGACCUCCUGCUGCUCUGCUUUGGGCCAUUUAUGCCUAACAAAUUGACUGAUUUAUGCCAAUUGCUAGUAAACUACAAGGACUAGGAAUGAGUAGAGCUUGGGAUUACUCGGACUACUUGAGUAUCUGCUCACCCUAGGAUUACCUAAAAUUUUGAUAUAUCCAAUUUUGCCUCAUGUUAACUGUCCCGGCGGCGGUUGUCAGCUGUAGUUCAGAAGGUGUGGCACGGGAACAGCAACAUAUUUAUAGAUCAAGCUAGCUAUGGGGUGAUUGACAGCAGUAGUGGUUUGGGAGCUAACAGUUGGGGGUGAAAAGGAGGUCCACUGCAUAUAAGUUUUGUGACAUUGAUUAGUGUUCCAUUUUCAUCUAAUUUUCACAUGUCGAGAGAUGUAAGUCAAGUACUGAAAGGAUGGACAUUCUGUUAUAAUAACAAAGAUAAUCGUUGCAUGUAACUACUGCAGUGGCUUGACCAAUUCGAAAUACACGGAACUUAUGAGAAGUACAAGGACCAGGGUUUUGAGAUCUUUGCUUUCCCAUGCAACCUAUUUGGUGGGCCAGAACUUGGCAUUGAUAAGGAAAUUAUUCAGAUUGCUUGCACUCGUAUCAAUGCCGAAUAUAUGAUUUUUUUACAAGGGUUCUGUUGGCGACACUGGCGGUCGUCGAAAGGUUCGUAGACUCAACAAUGUCGUAAGCAGUCGACCACACACCCCGAGCCCGAGAGAUGAUCAACAUGCAGAUACACUUGAUUCGGUGUGUGGCCAAAUCUGAAUCUUAAUGAUGUUCGGGUUUCAGAGUGCGGGGCACUUGUACGAUGGCUUCCUUCGUUUGCUGGUGGCGAGGCCUGCUAGAGACGUGGCGGCGGUUGCCAUCGGUCAGAUGUGGCUCGUCGAGGCUACCCCAUGUGUUUUGCCGUAGCUGCACACCGUGAGAUCAGGCCGGGCAGGUGCCGCAUAUUGACGAGUGAUCAAAUUUUCGGAUCGGACCAUAACAACUUAAGUAGGUAGCUGCUUAGCAAGUUGCUACGCGCAACACUCUGUGAUAGGAAUUAUACAUGAGUUGCCGCUAUAAUGAGAAACUAUCAGUAGAUACGACAAAUGUGUGAUAGAAUGGAAUUGGCUGAUUUUAUAUUUUUUAAUUCAUAAUAAUCUAGUAGUAGCGUGGGA